Long non-coding RNA from Oncorhynchus keta (chum salmon), 1066 nucleotides. RefSeq lists it as uncharacterized. The record is from RefSeq and is a predicted model, not a curated record. The transcript is spliced from 2 exons. NCBI's taxonomy places the organism in Eukaryota, Metazoa, Chordata, Actinopteri, Salmoniformes, Salmonidae.
CACACACACACACACACACACACACACACACACACACACACAUACAUACAUACAUACAUACAUACAUAUACACACCUUUACAUUUAAAAAAAAUGUUUUCCUUUAUUACCCUCCAACCCUAUCACCCCCUCCCCAAUUGGAGCAAAAUAGUCAACAACAACGCUUAGGUGUGUUUUUACAGCUUAUACAAACUACAUUUUAUUUUACAAUAGUUCUAUUUUGUUUGUUUUUACUCCUGUCCGUCCUCAACUUCUCCCAUCUAUUUCUGAUGUCCAUACGGUUUGAUUUCUAUUAGCCAUGUCUUUCUAACUAUGCUCUUUCACAUAAGUUCUUAAACUAUAUACGUUUUAUGGGCACAGUAUGUUUAACAUUAGUUCUCGUGUUAUUAUUAAAGAAAAACCCUUGAAUGAAUAGGUUUGUCCAAACUUUUGACUGGUACUUUCUAUUAAAGGAACACCUAAUUUUACAAGACUCAUAUUACACCUUUAGACAACAGCAGAAAUAAACAUGAGGUUGGAGUAUCUUUCAGAUACAAAGGCCCAACUGACUGGAAUAAUUUACCUAUUGAAAUCAGGGUAUUCAAAUUACACAUUGAAGAAUUAAGAAAGACCUUUUUCAAAUGUUAAGAACAAACUGUUUUUAACUAAUCGAAACAUCACCACGUGAAGAUAAUUGCAUGUUUUUAUUUGUAUUGUUAUGUAAGUUAUAUACAUGUUUUUAUUUGUGUUGCUAUGUAAGUUAUAUACAUGUUUUUAUUUGUAUUGCUAUGUAAGUUAUAUACAUGUUUUAUUAUUAUUGUUAUACAGUAGCUGCUGUAUUAUUAUAGUUGUUAAGUUGAGUUUUUUCAUUUGGACACUUGAAAACGAGAUGGUUCCACUCAAGAUAUUUCAUCGUGCAAAAUGUUGAAUAAAUACAUUGGUAGUUACAUCCAUGUACGUGCGUGCAAAUGUAUGAGAAAAUGACAGUUUGGGCUAUAUUUGUGUGCAGUGCUAAGAGGUUGAAAUUGUACAAAAUCGGGAAGAUUGCACCUUUCCCUAAUAAACAUGAAGUGGUGCCAGUGGCGUCC